Molecule: ribosomal RNA, 510 nt
Filed under: uncultured bacterium
Lineage: Bacteria
Description: partial 16S ribosomal RNA
Rfam family: Bacterial small subunit ribosomal RNA
Source: RNAcentral
GACGAACGCUGGCGGCGUGCUUAACACAUGCAAGUCGAACGAAGAGCGAUGGAAGCUUGCCUCUAUCAAUCUUAGUGGCGAACGGGUGAGUAACGCGUAAUCAACCUGCCCUUCAGAGGGGGACAACAGUUGGAAACGACUGCUAAUACCGCAUACGAUCUAAUCUCGGCAUCGAGGAUAGAUGAAAGGUGGCCUCUACAUGUAAGCUAUCACUGAAGGAGGGGAUUGCGUCUGAUUAGCUAGUUGGAGGGGUAACGGCCCACCAAGGCGAUGAUCAGUAGCCGGUCUGAGAGGAUGAACGGCCACAUUGGGACUGAGACACGGCCCAGACUCCUACGGGAGGCAGCAGGGGGGAAUCUUCCGAAAUGGACGAAAGUCUGACGGAGCAACGCCGCGUGAGCGAUGACGGCCUUCGGGUUGUAAAGCUCUGUUAAUCGGGACGAAAGGCCUUCUUGCGAAUAGUGAGAAGGAUUGACGGUACCGGAAUAGAAAGCCACGGCUAACUACGUG